This 497-nucleotide ribosomal RNA is filed under the name uncultured bacterium. RNAcentral's name for it is "partial 16S ribosomal RNA". It matches the Rfam family "Bacterial small subunit ribosomal RNA", at positions 28 to 507 of the family's 1533-position model. The record is from RNAcentral.
GAUGAACGCUGGCGGCGUGCCUAAUACAUGCAAGUCGAGCGAACAGACGAGGAGCUUGCUCCUUUGACGUUAGCGGCGGACGGGUGAGUAACACGUGGAUAACCUACCUAUAAGACUGGGAUAACUUCGGGAAACCGGAGCUAAUACCGGAUAACAUGUUGAACCGCAUGGUUCAGCAGUGAAAGACGGUCUUGCUGUCACUUAUAGAUGGAUCCGCGCCGCAUUAGCUAGUUGGUAAGGUAACGGCCUACCAAGGCAACGAUGCGUAGCCGACCUGAGAGGGUGAUCGGCCACACUGGAACUGAGACACGGUCCAGACUCCUACGGGAGGCAGCAGUAGGGAAUCUUCCGCAAUGGGCGAAAGCCUGACGGAGCAACGCCGCGUGAGUGAAGAAGGUCUUCGGAUCGUAAAACUCUGUUAUUAGGGAAGAACAAAUGUGUAAGUAACUAUGCACGUCUUGACGGUACCUAAUCAGAAAGCCACGGCUAACUACGUG